GCUCCAGAUCCAUUGCACCAAGAACUUCCUCCCUCUUCUACCAUUCAAAUUAAAGGUCCUGCCUUUCCUAUCCCUCAUCACCUGCCCUAUAUACCCACCACCGCCACCUGUCCCAUACAACCCUUCACACAAAUCCCCUAUCUCAGUUGGUGCUGUUGGAUCCUCCCCAGCAUACCAAGCAUUCACCAAGGGAUUUGAAGACAACUCUGCAAGUUCAUGGCCUAUAACACUAAUCAUUCCAUCAACACCCACAUCCCCAUUUGGUGGCUUCAAGGCUCCUGGUCCACCUCCACCCAUAUAACCAGGGACUGCAAAAGGGUAAGCACAUACUUCAGGGC
This 338-nucleotide long non-coding RNA is filed under the name Populus trichocarpa (black cottonwood). RNAcentral's name for it is "long non-coding RNA (PTRI_LNC001322)". Lineage: Eukaryota; Viridiplantae; Streptophyta; Magnoliopsida; Malpighiales; Salicaceae. The record is from RNAcentral.